Doryrhamphus excisus (bluestripe pipefish) is the source of this 827-nucleotide non-coding RNA. Lineage: Eukaryota; Metazoa; Chordata; Actinopteri; Syngnathiformes; Syngnathidae. The record is from RefSeq and is a predicted model, not a curated record.
CUAUAAUUGAGAAAUGAAUGGUUUUUUUUCCCUUUGGGACACGUGAUUAGAUAAUGGCUUACCUGAGGAAUGAAGGGACCCAGUGAACGGGUGUUAAGGUGCACGGGUGAUCUGGGAGGUGAGCUCACCAUGCUGUCAUCGAUAAAAAUCUGCAUUAAAUCAGCUGAGAAGUAUCCAAAGGAAGCGGAAUUGAACGUGAAGUCAGACAGGCCCAUGGACAGCAUGUAGGCUGGAUUCUCAGCUCCUGUCAGUGCGAUGCUGAAACCUACAAUGGACAUCUUCAGUCCUGAGACGUCUUGGUAGAACUCUAUCGAUGGCUCCGCAAAAUCACACUUGGCUAUGGUGACACUUCAACAAAGAAGAAGACAAGAAAAAAAACAAGUUAAGUACACACUUCUAUUAAUAAAAUAGUGCAACAUGUUUUGCAUGUUUUACUUUAUUUUAAUUUUAUUUAGCUGCAUUGCAUUUCUUUUCAAACGUGACAUCAAACAUUGCUUGUAGUAGUAAAGGUUUCAUGAUGGCCACAGCUUGACCUUGGAACAGAUUAUUUAUAUUUCUAGCAUUAUUUCUUGUGGAAAAACUAGAAAGAACAAUGAAGUUACUUUUAAGUACACGGUCUGUUUUUAAUUUAUCCCACUCAUAGCCCGCCCCCGGGCAUGCCCACAAUACUGUGAUUGGUCACACGCCCAAAGUGCUUCCUAACUAUGAACCAUAUAAGGAAGUCUGUCCCUCUGUGACAUCACAAAGGGUCACUUUAACCACGCCUUUUGAAACCAAGUGUUUUGAACCAUCCCAAACUUCUUUCAGUGCUCACUUCUAAAUGCAGA